GCCGGGCACGGUGGCACACGCCUGUAAUCCCGGUGGCUCCGGAGGCAGAGGCAGGAGGAUCGCAAGUUCAAAGCCAGCCUCAGCAAUUUACUAAGGUGGUAAGCAACUCAGUGAGAACCUGUCUCUA
RNAcentral lists this small RNA (127 nucleotides) under Marmota monax (woodchuck). Lineage: Eukaryota; Metazoa; Chordata; Mammalia; Rodentia; Sciuridae. The record is from RNAcentral.